Cyanistes caeruleus (blue tit) is the source of this 309-nucleotide non-coding RNA. The record is from RefSeq and is a predicted model, not a curated record. NCBI's taxonomy places the organism in Eukaryota, Metazoa, Chordata, Aves, Passeriformes, Paridae.
UCAGAACAGUGUAUGAAGAAUACUGCCAAGUUGCAGAUAAUUUUGACAAAUAUGUAGCAAAGGUUUUUCUGCAAUGCUGCUACAUUAGAUUACAUGUAGACCAGUAGAUUACAAGUAGACCAGGAAAUUCAAAAUUAGCUGCUAACAAUACAAACAUGCAAUCUUGAAACUUCUUUUCAUAUUUUUUUUCAGCUAUGAACUUGAACCAGUGUGAGCCUUCUUCCUGAAGUCACUUACAAGUCAUUUUGACAUUUCCAGUACUUUCUAAGGAGGUGUUGGAACUGCAGAAUAAAGAUAUAUGCAACUUUU